This 261-nucleotide unclassified non-coding RNA is filed under the name Hevea brasiliensis (rubber tree). The record is from RNAcentral. Lineage: Eukaryota; Viridiplantae; Streptophyta; Magnoliopsida; Malpighiales; Euphorbiaceae.
GUUGGAAGCAUGCUUGGACCUUGAGUGAGAGCUAAGGUGCAGAUAUAGCUGUUGACCACAUGAAUACCACAGAGGAAUUUGGCUACGAGUAAUGUUUGCUGAAAUGCUUCUUUGAUAAAAGGCGUCAAUUGCUUCAGAUUUUUCAGACCCAUUAUUAGUCAAUCUGCAUCUCAACCCUAAAGAGGCUAUCUCACCAAUUAAAAUGGAUGACAGAAUCAGGCGAAAGAGUACCACAGUAACCCCGACCUCUACUCGACGGCG